Molecule: ribosomal RNA, 327 nt
Filed under: uncultured eukaryote
Lineage: Eukaryota
Description: partial 18S ribosomal RNA
Rfam family: Eukaryotic small subunit ribosomal RNA
Source: RNAcentral
CCCUUAGAUGUUCUGGGCCGCACACGCGCUACACUGAAGGAGGCAGCGUGUACUCCUGGAUCGAAAGAUUUGGGUAACCCGCGAAUCUCCUUCGUGCUAGGGAUUGAGGUUUGCAAUUGUCCUUCAUGAACGAGGAAUUCCCAGUAAGUGCAAGUCAUAAGCUUGCGCUGACUACGUCCCUGCCCUUUGUACACACCGCCCGUCGCUACUACCGAUUGAAUGAUUUAGUGAGGACUUCGGACUGGGACCGAUGCGGCUUUCGGGCUGCGUCGGUAUUCUGGAAAGAUGUCCAAACUGUAUCAUUUAGAGGAAGUAAAAGUCGUAACA